RNAcentral lists this ribosomal RNA (769 nucleotides) under uncultured Lactobacillus sp. RNAcentral's name for it is "bacterial SSU rRNA". It matches the Rfam family "Bacterial small subunit ribosomal RNA", at positions 726 to 1502 of the family's 1533-position model. Lineage: Bacteria; Bacillati; Bacillota; Bacilli; Lactobacillales; Lactobacillaceae. The record is from RNAcentral.
UGUCUGGUCUGUACUGACGCUGAGCUCGAAAGUAUGGGUAGCAAACAGGAUUAGAUACCUGGUAGUCCAUACCGUAAACGAUGAAUGCUAAGUGUUGGAGGUUUCCCCUUCAGUGCUGCAGCUAACGCAUUAAGCAUUCCGCUGGGGAGUACGGCCGCAAGGCUGAAACUCAAAGGAAUUGACGGGGGCCCGCACAAGCGGUGGAGCAUGUGGUUUAAUUCGAAGCUACGCGAAGAACCUUACCAGGUCUUGACAUACUAUGCAAAUCUAAGAGAUUAGACGUUCCCUUCGGGGACAUGGAUACAGGUGGUGCAUGGUUGUCGUCAGCUCGUGUCGUGAGAUGUUGGGUUAAGUCCCGCAACGAGCGCAACCCUUAUUAUCAGUUGCCAGCAUUAAGUUGGGCACUCUGGUGAGACUGCCGGUGACAAACCGGAGGAAGGUGGGGAUGACGUCAAAUCAUCAUGCCCCUUAUGACCUGGGCUACACACGUGCUACAAUGGAUGGUACAACGAGUUGCGAACUCGCGAGAGUAAGCUAAUCUCUUAAAGCCAUUCUCAGUUCGGAUUGUAGGCUGCAACUCGCCUACAUGAAGUCGGAAUCGCUAGUAAUCGCGGAUCAGCAUGCCGCGGUGAAUACGUUCCCGGGCCUUGUACACACCGCCCGUCACACCAUGAGAGUUUGUAACACCCAAAGUCGGUGGGGUAACCUUUAGGAACCAGCCGCCUAAGGUAGGACAGAUGAUUAGGGUGAAGUCGUAACAAGGUAACCA